Molecule: ribosomal RNA, 445 nt
Filed under: uncultured bacterium
Lineage: Bacteria
Description: partial 16S ribosomal RNA
Rfam family: Bacterial small subunit ribosomal RNA
Source: RNAcentral
GUGAGGAAUAUUGGUCAAUGGGCGAGAGCCUGAACCAGCCAAGUCGCGUGAAGGAAGAAGGAUCUAUGGUUCGUAAACUUCUUUUGCAGGGGAAUAAAGUGCAGGACGUGUCCUGUUUUGUAUGUACCCUGAGAAUAAGGAUCGGCUAACUCCGUGCCAGCAGCCGCGGUAAUACGGAGGAUCCGAGCGUUAUCCGGAUUUAUUGGGUUUAAAGGGUGCGUAGGUGGUUUGAUAAGUCAGCGGUGAAAGUUUGCAGCUUAACUGUAAAAAUGCCGUUGAAACUGUCGGACUUGAGUGUAAAUGAGGUAGGCGGAAUGCGUGGUGUAGCGGUGAAAUGCAUAGAUAUCACGCAGAACUCCGAUUGCGAAGGCAGCUUACUAAGCUACAACUGACACUGAAGCACGAAAGCGUGAGGAUCAAACAGGAUUAGAUACCCUAGUAGUCC